AGGACGAACGCUGGCGGCAGGCCUAACACAUGCAAGUCGAACGCACCGCAAGGUGAGUGGCAGACGGGUGAGUAACGCGUGAGAACCUACCCUUUGGUACGGAACAUACCAGGGAAACCUGGGGUAAUACCGUAUGAGCCCUUCGGGGGAAAGAUUUAUCGCCAUUGGAUGGGCCCGCGUCGGAUUAGCUAGUUGGUGAGGUAACGGCUCACCAAGGCGAACGAUCCGUAGCUGGUCUGAGAGGACGAUCAGCCACACUGGGACUGAGACACGGCCCAGACUCCUACGGGAGGCAGCAGUGGGGAAUAUUGGUCAAUGGGCGAAAGCCUGAACCAGCCAUGCCGCGUGAGUGAUGAAGGCCUUAGGGUGUAAAAGCUCUUUCGGCGGGAAGAUAAAUGACGGUACCCGCAGAAAGAAGCCCCGGCUAACUUCGUGCCAGCAGCCGC
This 446-nucleotide ribosomal RNA is filed under the name uncultured soil bacterium. RNAcentral's name for it is "bacterial SSU rRNA". It matches the Rfam family "Bacterial small subunit ribosomal RNA", at positions 26 to 518 of the family's 1533-position model. The record is from RNAcentral.